This 55-nucleotide transfer RNA is filed under the name Camelus bactrianus (Bactrian camel). It matches the Rfam family "tRNA", at positions 9 to 63 of the family's 71-position model. From Rfam's summary of the family: Transfer RNA (tRNA) molecules are approximately 80 nucleotides in length. Lineage: Eukaryota; Metazoa; Chordata; Mammalia; Artiodactyla; Camelidae. RNAcentral also lists the same sequence under 1 other name. The record is from Rfam by way of RNAcentral.
AGCUCAGUGGUAGAGCGCAGGCUUAGCAUGCACGAGGUCUGGGUUCGAUUCCCAG